This is a long non-coding RNA of Dendroctonus ponderosae (mountain pine beetle), 503 nucleotides long. RefSeq lists it as uncharacterized. The transcript has 3 exons. Lineage: Eukaryota; Metazoa; Arthropoda; Insecta; Coleoptera; Curculionidae. The record is from RefSeq and is a predicted model, not a curated record.
ACUGGACAUAAUCUUACAUUUUUUGUAUUAACCGUUUUAUUCUAGGUAUCUUAGUUCAGGAAAAAAUUCACCGUUUCCAUGCAUAAAAGCGACCCUGGAAUUUUUCCACAAUAAAACCUAAAUCUACAUGGUACGUUAUUAAAGUUGAGCGAAAAUUGCAAGAUGCAUUCAACGACCCAAAGGCUGCUAAUAAGCAGCAUUUGCAGCUCUACUAACAGUAACAAAAUCCAAAUAGGUGGGAUCGGAAGGAAAAAUUCCGCAAGUCAUGGAGGCGAUGGAUAUAAUCCCAUCUUCGUUAAAAUUCCAGAAGAGUUUUUCGGCCUAUUUCGUAAGCACACAACCCAAACAAAGAAUAUAACAUCGCGACCCUAACACAACAGUGAAUAAUCAACGAGCCCCAUCAGGAAACUUUGAACUUUAUACCAACGAAAUAUAUUAUUUAUGAUAAAAGUGCAAUAAGUAUAAUAACAUUAUCGUGCUUGCUUGAUAUAUUUUUUUUAUUU